AGCGAACGCUGGCGGCAGGCCUAACACAUGCAAGUCGAACGAACUAUUCGGAGUUAGCGGCGGACGGGUGAGUAACACGUGGGAACGUGCCUUUUGGUUCGGAAUCACUCAGGGAAACUUGUGCUAAUACAGAAUGUGCCCAUCGGGGGAAAGAUUUAUCGCCAUUAGAGCGGCACUCGUCUGAUUCGCUGGUUGGUGAGGUAACGGCUCAUCAAGGCGACGAUCAGUAGCUGGUCUGAGAGGAUGACCAGCCACACUGGGACUGGGACACGGCCGAGACUCCUACGGGAGGCAGCAGUGGGGAAUCUUGCGCAAUGGGCGAAAGCCUGACGCUGCCAUGCCGCGUGAAUGAUGUAGUUCUGAGGAUUGAAAAAUUCUUUCACCGGUGACCAUCAUGACGGUACCCGAAGAGGAAGCCCCGGCUAACUACGUG
RNAcentral lists this ribosomal RNA (433 nucleotides) under uncultured bacterium. RNAcentral describes it as "partial 16S ribosomal RNA". It matches the Rfam family "Bacterial small subunit ribosomal RNA", at positions 29 to 507 of the family's 1533-position model. The record is from RNAcentral.